Camelina sativa (false flax) is the source of this 8414-nucleotide non-coding RNA. NCBI's taxonomy places the organism in Eukaryota, Viridiplantae, Streptophyta, Magnoliopsida, Brassicales, Brassicaceae. The record is from RefSeq and is a predicted model, not a curated record.
UUUUCUUUUGUGGAAAACCACAUAUUGCAUUUAAUUUCCAACCGGUAUGGUUGUUGCCGGUUCGGUGGCUACAUAAUUACAUGCGAGAGAGAGAGAAAAGGGUAACUGAAUACAAACACACAUAUAUAGAAGCUAAAGCAUUUUUUGCAAUUUAAUCGGCUUUUCAGUUGUUUUCUCGCGGAACAAACUUGAACCAAAUCUCCUAAUUUUAGAGCUCUGAUUUUGUUGCUUUUAUCAGCGCUUGUGAAUCUAAAGAAAAUGUAAUUUUUCUGGUAUCCCAAAUCUGAGGCAUGUUGCACACGAGGGAAGAAGCGACAUGUAGAGUGGUGUCCUGUUUGUGGAUCUCCGAGUUAGUAAUCGGAUCCAUAAAGAUCCAGCAGAGACCCGCCAUCAAAGAAUGCUCUUUCCAAGCGACAUCAGCGAAGCACUGGAUCGUAUCUGCAUUCACUUUUCUUUGUAGCUUCCCGAUCUGGUGGUUUGUGCUACUAGGGGUUUAGAUUUGGGCUGAAUGCCAUUCUCUAGCUUGGACAGUCGCUUGGGAUAUCGCAUCCGGUGCAAAGGCGGUCAUCUUCUCAAAAAUGAGCUUGUUUCAAUGUUUCCAAAUGAUACACAAGAUCCAUACGUCGAGAGAUCCAUCAAUAAUACCUGUUGGGGAUAAGCACUGAUACUUUCCAAUUGUUUCAAUUCCCAUUCUUAGGUUUGAUAUCCAUGUUGGAUCUAUCUGCGUUUUGUAUGGUGCAUGAGCAGACACUUGUUGGAUAGUCCCUCAUUUUGAAAGAACAGGUGGACACUCUCUUAUUUUGGAAACUCAAUCGACUUUUUUUUCAGGAUGUUUGAUUAUGGAUAAUAUUAUUAUUACACAGGAAUUGAUUCAUGUGCUAAAUACUAAUCGGCAGUAUAAAUCGGAUCUCCUUGCUUUUAAAACAGAUAUGAGCAAAGCUUAUGAUUGUGUAGAAUGAUCAUUUUUGGAAGUCGUCCUGAGCAGGAUGGGCCUUGAUGGUAAAUGGAUUUCAUGGAUUAUGUGGUGUGUCAGUCCUGUCUCUUACCAAGUACUUCUAAAUGGUUAGUCUCGGGGUUAUAUUCUUCCAGAACAUGGUUUGCGAUAAGGAGAUCUCCUCUCUCCGUAUUUGUUUAUUUUUUUACGGAGGUUUUAAUUACUAAUAUUAAAAAGGCUGAGAGGGAGGAAAAAGUUACGGGUGUGAAGUUUGCUCGGGAUUGUCCCUCGAUUUUUCAUUUGUUAUUUGCGGAUGAUAGUCUCUCUUUUUUUGUAAAGAAGAGGAGGCUGAGUGUGAGACAGUUAUAGAUAACGUUGGUAAUUAUGGUAAAGCUUUGGGACAAGAGGUGAAUCUAGCGAAAUCAUCUAUCCUGUUUGGGAAGAAAGUACCAAACCAAGUUAGAGAGCAGCUUAAAACUGUAAUUGGUAUUUCUAAAGAAGGGGGCAUGGACUCCUAUUUGGACAUCCUGAAAGUCUUGAGGGUUCUCACAAUAAGAUUUUCAGCUAUGUUCAUGAUAGGUUGAAUAAUCGGGUGAAUGGUUGGUCAGAAAAAUACUUAUCUAAGGGAGGAAAAUAAUUUUUGAUUAAAUCAGUUGCUUUGGCUCUCCCAAUACAUUUAUUGUCCUGUUUUAAACUUCCACCAGAUUAGACGUCUAAGUUAACAAGUGAAAUAUCAAACUUUUGGUGGAGUUUUAGUGAUAAGGACCGGGGAUUACACUGGGUGGCUUGGGAUAAGUCGUGUACAGAAAAAAGUAAAGGUGGUUUGGAGUUUUGAUCUCUGGAUAAAUUCAAUGAUGCGAUGCUUGCUAAACAAUAUUGGCAUCUGAUUCAAUACUCAAAUUCUUUAUUUAUCAGGCUGCUGCAAGGGCGGUACUUUAGGAACAUGCAUCUUUUAAUGGCUAAAAAACCAUAUUCACCAUCUUUUGGUCGGAAGAGCAUUUAUUCCACUAAAGGAUUAGUAGAACGUGUUACAAGGUGGAUGGUGGGAUCGGGUUGUAAUAUUUCGUUUUUGCGAGACCCUUGGAUUCCUGAUCAUCACCCCGACCAGCAAAUGGUAGGGGUAGACUUUUGCCUCCAAUAAAUCCGGUCAUUAAGGAGUGGCAUUAACCUAUUCUUUAGGUGUUCAUGGAUCCGGAAGAUAUUCUGCUUAUACAAAGUAGGGCUAUAAGCAAGACUUUUAAGCUUGAUCGAUUGAUUUGGCAUUAUUCAAGAUCAAGGAGAUAUUCAGUGAAAUCAGGAUAUGGGUUGGCAAGGGAGCUGUUGGUAGAGGUCGAGUGUGGCCCAACAUGUACGGCUUUAAGAGCCCAUGCAUGAAAACUCCAAGUUCCACCUAAGCGUUUCUUCUAGCAAAUUGCAUCUGGUUCUCUUCCAGUGACAGAUCGUUUAGCUCACUGAGGUGUUCAGUGUGACACCUGGUGUAAAAGAUGUGAUUCAGCGAGUGAGACAAUUAACCAUGCUCUUUUUGAGUGCCCACGCUCGCGUCAAAUUUGGGACUUGUCUUCGAUCCAGGUUUUACGAAGGGUUUUUUUAUGAGUUAGUGUAUUUGAAUUUGGAUUGUAUCUACUGGAGAGGAAUUUCUCCUUCAUGAGAUCCAGAUUCCCGUCAUCAGUUACCAUGGAUAAUAUGGUCGCUAUGGAAGGAUAGGAAUAAGAAGGAUUUCUAAGGCACGCAGUUGGAUCCGAUUGACGUAAUUAGUCAGGCUGUAAGUGAAAAAUUAUUAUUAGAGGAGGUGCAGUCUCAGCCAGAGACUUUUUCAGGUCCCUUAAAUUCAUUGAACUUCUUGGUUCCUGCGGUGAGCGAGGGUCAAGGUACCCGUUGUCAAGUAGAUGGAUUUUGGAAGGUUUUUGAGCCCAAUUUAGGUUUGGGUUGGUGGUGCUGUUAUGGUGAAGCUCAGAUUUAUUGUUGGGAGCUCAAUGUCUAUGACAAAGUCCUUCCCCGCUUCAUUUAGAGUUAGAAGCUCUGCUUUGGACCAUGGAGAGUACUAUUGCCACUGGAGUCGUCUGCCAGAACUUUUAAACGGAUACUGCAGAACUAAUCACGAUGAUUCAAGCCCAAGAAGACUGGCUCCCGUUCUCUACUCCUCUAGAUGACUUUCAUCAUCUCUGGGCUUCCUUACCUUUGAAACGACACUUGGAUUCCCUAUCCUCACACAAGAUCCACAGGAAACGAUCUCACCGGAACCCCAUAAUUCCAAUGAGACAACCGGCGUAGAAAUCUCUCCUUACAAAAACUCCCACAAACACACCAAAUUUAAGCCAAAUCGGACUUUGUUUCAUCCUAUAAACGUUGCUCUGAAGUAGCCAUCUCGAACCAGUCCACGCAGCCCAUCUGCAAGUGUUGGUGUCGAACGAAACCAACCAAGACAUCGCGAUCCAAGCCUCCCUUAAAGCUCCUUCUCACCGUAAAACCGUAAUCCUUCACAACCAUCUAUUCACUAAUCAAUUAAACAUUAAACAACACAACUUAACUGGAUAAUAGCCAUGAGAGAGCCUCCUUGUCUAUCCCAAUCCACCACCAAGCUCCCAUCCUUCCCCUCACACAUGGAGAAGAUGGAAUUCCCUUAUCCUCCUCUAGCAUCCUUGAUGCACGACAAAGAAGAAGCUCCCCUCAAGCCCACUAAUUUAUCUCCUCUUCUCCCUCACACCAAGACCUCCUUCCUUUUUCUGUCCAUUGUCAAACCAUCCCCUUUCUCCUCCCUUCAAAGAGAGAAUCCACAACUCUCUUCUCUCCUUUUAGGACAGGAGACGGCUCCCCUUCACUUGGCGUCGAGAUACCACUUGUAUACUCGAACCCCUAGGGUUUUUUAAACCAUACCACAUCAAACCGAUGAUUAAAACUUAACUGUUGGACUUAGGAAAUUGUUGGUGUUGACCGACAACCCUCUGGUGUUGCUCGACAUCCACCCCCAAAAAUCCAAUUUUUUGGUUCACGGGGGUUACAAUUUCUUCUCUUUAUCCAAGUUUUCUCACUCCUUGAAUCUGAAGGCGGAUUGUCUAGCUCGGUCGUUCAGAUCGUUAAUUUCUGAAAUUUCUUUGUAAACUCAUUUCCUCCGGUUUGGGCUACCAAACGUGGAGUCGUAUUCUAAUUAAUAUUUGAUUGACAAUAAAAAAAGAACAGGUGGACACUCGUUUCCUCAUGACCGCAAAAGGGGGAAACUACCUCCGGGUUUAUUUCUCUCCCUUUAAAAUUCUAACCCGUGGGGAGAGCAUUUCUCAUAGCUUUCCAGAGGAAGAAAUAUAUCCUCGGUAGGCAUUUGACAUUCCAGAUUUCUUUUCCCCACUUUAAAUCAUCUGUUUGGUUUGCUUGAUGCAUUUUUUCCAUUGUUUGUAUAAUUGCAUAUUGAUAUCCGGAUUUGGUAGAGUACUUUCCAUAGGGAGUAGGAAGCCAGACAUAAGAUCCUCUACUCCAAACUUGCUAGGUUUAAGGAUCAAUAUUUGUUUCUCGUAUUAGGGCAGCAUUUCUUGGAUCUUCUCUUCAUCCUAUUGUGCAGUAUUGGGUCGUAUAAGCUUAGACACCCUCAUGUCUUGACAGUUAGCUGGGGCUUGUCCCAUUGGUGUGGUUGAUUAUACAAGAGAUAAACAUGGUUCAUUACCCAUGUAUUGGCUCCAGAGCCUAUAACUUUCCCAUUUGUACCUUUAAGAAAUCCCGACCUAUGCUUAUUCCUCGCCAGCCAUGGGAUGUUGAAGAAGGCACCAUAUACUCUAGAAAUGAAUUGUGUUGGCAGUAUUUCCCCAGUAGAUAGGUUGGUUUGGCGAGGAUUCUCCAGCAUAUCUUGGCCAGGAGUGCAUCAUUAAAGGUAGCUACAUCUCUGAAGCCUAAUCCUCCUUUCCUUUUAGAUUUUUGUCAUUUUAUUCCAAGAGAUCCAAUACAUCUUCCUCUUACCAGUUGCUGAGUCCCACUAGAAGCGAGUCAAGACAGAUUGUAUUCUUUUGCAAAGUGAUCCUGGCAGUUUGAAACAAGACAUCGUGUGGGUUGGCAUUGCAGAUAACAUUGGUUUAAGCAUGGUGAUUUUUCUAGCAGUGGAAAGGAACCUAGUGGACCAGCUUAGUGAGUGUUGCUUGAUUUUGUCGAUGAUGCUGUUAAACAUAUCCUUUUUCUUUCUUCCAAAAUAUUCAGGUAAACCUAGGUAUUUUCCUAGUCCUCCAACUUGUUGGAUGCCUAGGAUAUGUUUCGCUAAGAUUGUUGUGUUCUCUCCUAUUUUGGCUGAGAAAUUGACAGCCGAGUUGGCUUUGUUUAUCAUUUGGCCUAAUAUUUUUGUAGGAUUUUCAUUAAUUCCUCACAACUUUGCUAAUCAGAUCGACAAAAAAAUAUUAUAUCAUCUACAAAAAAGGAGAUGGUUUACUCGGGGACCGGCUUUGGAUACUUUAUGUCUUUGCAGCCUAAUCUCAAGUUUUCUACAUAGACCAGAUAAUACUUCAUUGAAGAGCAUGAAAAUGUGUGGUGACAGAGGGUCCCCUUUGCGAAUUCCUCUCUGUGGGUUCACUUUUCCUUGGGUGGAGCCAGUUAGGAGAUAUGAAUAUGAUACAAAGGUGAUGCAUAUCAUGAUCCAGUUGACCCAAUUUUGGUGGAACCCCAUUCUCUCCAUCACCAGCCUUGUGAAGUUCCAUUAUAUGCAGUCGUACGCUUUACUCAUGUCGGUUUUAACCGCGCUAUAGCAUCUCUUUUUUGCUCCAGAGUUAUUGAGGUAAUGUAGUACUUCAUGUGUGAUUAAUACAUUAUUUGUGAUUACCCUUUUUGGCACAAAAGAUGACUAAUUCUCUGAAAUGAUAUGUUGCAGGAGAGGUUGCAGUCUCUUUGUUAAUACCUUGGAGAUGAUCUUGUAGAACACAGUGCAGAGCGCUAUGGGUCUGUAGUCUACCCUUUUCUGUGGACUUUGGAUCUUGAGAAUGAGCCUGACAUGAGUUUGAUUGGUAUUUUCAAACAUAUUUCCUAAGAUAAAGAAUCUUUGCACUUCCAUGAUAAUGUUGGGGCCUACCGUCUCCAAAUUUGACAGGAAAAAGCUUGCUGAAAAUCCAUCUGGGCUAGGAGCUUUUUCUGCGUGAAUUAAAAAAUAUGCUUUUUAUAUUUCAUCUGGUGAUGGUAUUGAGAUGAGAAUUUGAUUCAUUUAUGUUGAAAUGGAGGGCUUAAUGGCUUCUUCAAUCUUGGCAGCUCUAUCUUCUUCUCAAGAGGUGAACAGCUUCUCAAAAUAAUCAGUAAUGACUCUACUUAUUUGCUCUUCUUUGAAUAUAAGUGCUCCAUUUUCAUCUUAAAUUACUAAAAACUUGUUUAUUACAUAGUUGCCCCUAGUGGUAGCAUGAAAAUACAUGAGUUUUUACCUCCCAAUGCUAACCACAUUUGUUUACUUCUUUGCUUCCUCUUCCGUUUUGUAUGCCUUCAGGAGACUCAUAUUUAGCUUGGAGAUCAGCUCUGAGUUUGCCUUCUGACUGAUCAUAGCUUCUUCCAGUUUUGCUAUGUAUAGUUCUAUCUCCUUUUGGCUAUUUUGGUGUUUUUCUCUUGUCUAUUGGAUGAUUUCACAGUGACAUCUAGUCAAAGUGUGUGAGGAUGGGUCUGUGAUCGGAUCGUUCAAAGCGAAGAUAGUCAGUUGGCUAGAUGGAUUUCGCUUUUGGGGGUCUUCCCCUUCCUCUCUUUGUGACUUUCUAAGGGGCUUGGAGAUUUUGGUCACAGCCAAUGGUUUUGAAGUCUCGGAUUUCUGCAGUCGGAGAAUGGUUCAGAAUUCGUACACUUGGUGGAGGAGAGGUCAACUCAUCAUUGACCAUCCUCUAUCUUAACUCCACGCUUGGUGGAGGUGGUGGUGGAGUAGGGGGUUAGGGUUUAUCCCCAAUCUUUCUAAUGGUGGCCGUCUGGGCCUUGAGAAGUCUUAUGCUUCCAAGUGGUGAUAUGAUGAUGGAGUUAUUUCUCUCUCCACUGCAUCCUUGGGUUUUGUGAUGUUCCAUCCUCUCUAGGGUAAUGAUGGGAAGAGGAAUAUCCACGCUGUGAAGAUCUGCCUUGGUAAAGAUGGGAUCUAUAGGUUUGUCUCAUGUGGCUUGAGCGAAUGGUCACAUUAUUCUGGCCCUCCGACGAGUAUGAUCUUCAACUUAAUUCAUGAUCUGACCAUCCUUUUUGUGCUAUGCAAGAUCCGGAUGGUUCUCUUUGGAAAUCAGCACAAACUAGAGUAGUCUUGGGUGCCAUGAAGUUGUCUUGGGGUGUGUAAUAGUUUCUAGACACCUCUCGGGUAUCUGAUGCUUGAGAUCGUGAAACGAACUGGGAUUUCACUCUUUGCAGCUAGUUCUGGGUUGUUUUUCAAUUCGUGGGUGAGCCUAAAGCAGUAAGCAAUGAUUCUUAUGUUUUUGUAAUCAAGGAUACAUUUGUUAUCUCCAUGUCUUCCAUUUCUCUGAGUUCUUCAUCAAUAGCUUGCAUCAUUUUUGGUUCUCAGUAGUGCUUUGGGAGGCCUUGAACUUCAAUAUAGAAGGGAAUAACAGACGGGAAUGUGGCAAGAAACCACCGGCUCCCAUAUAUGAAGUAUCACUAUCCAGUAAUCAUAAUGGUAUAGUCUGUUCUAUAGAACUUUAUGGAUGUCCUCUUCAUAGUCAAAUCUGAACUAGAUGCAGCCUCUUCCUAGAUUUGCUUAAGUCGCUUUCCCUUGAGGUCCUAUCGGUUAGCAAGGAAAGGGAAUAGAGACCAGAGUCUUUGAGCAGAGGGGUUGGUUAGGCGGCCCAUGAGUGUAAGAGAGUUCUCCUCAAUCAGAGCUAAGGUAUCUAAUUCUGGGGCUCGGAUUCUUCUAUGAGGAGGAGGAGUGUUUCCAGCAUCCACAACUUUUCCUUUGAGGUGGUUACACAUGUUUCAAAAGUUUUACAAAGGGUUACACAGUUUCAUGGUUUUUCAUUACCGAGGAGGGAUAAAAGAAGAGAGAGAGACACAUUCCGUACGGUGGAUAGUUCACUCCUUCCGGGAUGCAAUACGGUGGGUAAAGAGCGGUAGACCAAGCUUGUUCCAGUGAAUAGAUCCUCGUCGGAGCUUGCUAUAGUCCGCUGAGUUUUUUCACAUGGGUUGAUAGACCAUUAGUUAUUGCCGCUUUUAGUAGUUUGGAGUAGGUGAGAUCUAAUUUUUUGAAAGUGUGUUGCUACUUUAGUUGCCUUGGAAAUUGGGCCUGGGAGAGAAGUCGUAUACUUCUCUAUGCCUCACCUUCUAGACGUUUUUGUUGCUUAUUAUUUAAGCAACAAAACUAUAGAGACAAGAACUAUAGAGACAAGACCCAAAAGCACAAAAAAUUCUAAACUCCUUCCUCAAAUGGUUGACAAAAACAUGAUGUUGUUCAUCUAUCUGAGCUUUAAUCAAAUUACCAUUUAGUUUCAUUGCCGCUUCUGCAUCUUCAGGAGAGUUGAAGAUUACAUUGCAUGCUCUUGUUUUUUCUCCCUUUAAGAAACUGACACUAAAGAAGAGA